Molecule: unclassified non-coding RNA, 335 nt
Filed under: soil metagenome
Description: partial contains 5.8S ribosomal RNA, internal transcribed spacer 2, and large subunit ribosomal RNA
Rfam family: 5.8S ribosomal RNA (bases 1-121)
Source: RNAcentral
GAUGAAGAACGUAGCGAAAUGCGAUAAGUAAUGCGAAUUGCAGAAUUCCAGUGAGUCAUCGAAUCUUUGAACGCACAUUGCGCCCGCCAGUAUUCUGGCGGGCAUGCCUGUUCGAGCGUCAUUUCAACCAUCAAGCCCCAGGCUUGUGUUGGAGCCCUGCGGCUGCCGCAGCCUCCCAAAACCAGUGGCGGGCUCGCUAUCACACCGAGUGCAGUAGUUUACUCUUCGCUCAGGGCGUGUGGCGGGUGCUAGCCGUAAAACCCCCAACUUCUCAAGGUUGACCUCGGAUCAGGUAGGAAUACCCGCUGAACUUAAGCAUAUCAAUAAGCGGAGGA